This 465-nucleotide ribosomal RNA is filed under the name Vreelandella stevensii. RNAcentral's name for it is "partial 16S ribosomal RNA". It matches the Rfam family "Bacterial small subunit ribosomal RNA", at positions 338 to 795 of the family's 1533-position model. Lineage: Bacteria; Pseudomonadati; Pseudomonadota; Gammaproteobacteria; Oceanospirillales; Halomonadaceae. The record is from RNAcentral.
CCUACGGGAGGCUGCAGUGGGGAAUAUUGGACAAUGGGCGAAAGCCUGAUCCAGCCAUGCCGCGUGUGUGAAGAAGGCCUUCGGGUUGUAAAGCACUUUCAGUGGGGAAGAAAGCCUUGGGGCUAAUACCCUCGAGGAAGGACAUCACCCACAGAAGAAGCACCGGCUAACUCCGUGCCAGCAGCCGCGGUAAUACGGAGGGUGCGAGCGUUAAUCGGAAUUACUGGGCGUAAAGCGCGCGUAGGCGGUCUGAUAAGCCGGUUGUGAAAGCCCCGGGGUCAACCUGGGAACGGCAUCCGGAACUGUCAGGCUAGAGUGCAGGAGAGGAAGGUAGAAUUCCCUGUGUAGCGGUGAAAUGCGUAGAGAUCGGGAGGAAUACCAGUGGCGAAGGCGGCCUUCUGGACUGACACUGACGCUGAGGUGCGAAAGCGUGGGUAGCAAACAGGAUUAGAUACCCUGGUAGUC